Molecule: ribosomal RNA, 253 nt
Filed under: uncultured bacterium
Lineage: Bacteria
Description: partial 16S ribosomal RNA
Rfam family: Bacterial small subunit ribosomal RNA
Source: RNAcentral
UACGUAGGUGACAAGCGUUGUCCGGAUUUACUGGGCGUAAAGAGCGCGCAGGCGGUCGUUCAAGUCGAGUGUGAAGGCCCCCGGCUCAACUGGGGAGGGUCAUUCGAUACUGAUCGACUCGAAGGCAGGAGAGGGUAGUGGAAUUCCCGGUGUAGUGGUGAAAUGCGUAGAUAUCGGGAGGAACACCUGUGGCGAAAGCGGCUCACUGGACCAUUACUGACGCUGAGGCUCGAAAGCUAGGGGAGCAAACAGG